GGAAGAAUUCAUGCUCUUUAAUCCUUGCUGCAUUUCAUCACUUAGAAGCACUAUAUUAAGCAAAGGUCCUGUCCCCGUGCUUCAAUAAACCACCAUUUUGCACCAAAGAUGUCUCAAGAAUUUUU
Molecule: long non-coding RNA, 125 nt
Filed under: Mustela putorius furo (domestic ferret)
Lineage: Eukaryota; Metazoa; Chordata; Mammalia; Carnivora; Mustelidae
Description: lncRNA (ENSMPUG00000027808.1)
Source: RNAcentral